GGGGGUGUAGCUCAUCUGGUAGAGCGCCUGCUUUGCAUCGAGUGCGAGUCUUCAGACCAGCACGCCCACUUGCCCUGCAGGAGGUACAGGGUUCGACUCCCUGCUCCUCCA
Coniochaeta ligniaria NRRL 30616 is the source of this 111-nucleotide transfer RNA. It matches the Rfam family "tRNA". From Rfam's summary of the family: Transfer RNA (tRNA) molecules are approximately 80 nucleotides in length. Their secondary structure includes four short double-helical elements and three loops (D, anti-codon, and T loops). The record is from Rfam. Lineage: Eukaryota; Fungi; Ascomycota; Sordariomycetes; Coniochaetales; Coniochaetaceae.